UUCGGGCUCGCUCUUUCUUUUUUUUCUUUUUUUUUCCACUUUUUUUUCUUUAAUGGAUUAUAUAAUUGGCAAGUUUUCAUUGGUCUUUCAGAUUGCUCCAUUUAUGAAUGAACAUGAGCAGAAUGUAGGACAGAUGGCAAUCGGAUUUGAGGCUGAAAACAGAGUAAGCACCGGGUUGCAGCUUUAGCUGGUCCCCGAAUUGUUUAAAAGCUAGAUCUCCUGAUUGGAGGGAGUGGGACAAUGAUCGAACCAAGCUAAGCAAAUAUAAUCCAUUGGAUCAACGGCCAUGAUCACGGAAUUUAUCCUUGUUGCCUUUUUGGGUUAAAAACUUGCCUUUUUGAAAGUUGGGCUGGGGAGUUACGAAGCAAGUGUAGAAGCAGGGAUGUUGUAAUUCUCAUUAAGGUGAGUAGGUAAUAGUUGGACUCGAUUGACGGGCUGCAGGCCUGUGAGUAUGAGCCCAAAGCCCACUUUCGUAUUUUAUGAAUAGAGGUCCACACAUGACAUGUGAGCUACGGUCAGAACUCAGAAGUUCAAUUGUAAAUGACUAAAUUCCAACAUUUGGAUGAGUAUUAUUACUUUCUAGCCUACUCUAUGGGCUACUUCAAAUUUGAUAAUUUGUUUUUCUUUUGGCC
RNAcentral lists this long non-coding RNA (632 nucleotides) under Citrus sinensis (sweet orange). RNAcentral's name for it is "long non-coding RNA (CSIN_LNC000439)". The record is from RNAcentral. Lineage: Eukaryota; Viridiplantae; Streptophyta; Magnoliopsida; Sapindales; Rutaceae.